GUUGCAAUCCCUUUUUGGCAGGACGUUUUUGUUAUUCAACUCUGCGCUCUUAUUUUUUAAUCUCGAUAGAAUUCUGUAUCGGAUAAUUUUUAUGGAGUUAUUCUAUUCUAAUAUGUACUCUAGAGCAAUAGAAAAAAUCCCAUAUUAGAGAACACAAGUUCGCAACAGUUAAUAAUCUCAGAUUGCACAACUGAUUUAAGAUCUUAAUUUACUGCUCCGUAUACAAAUAUGCCACAUCAAAGUUAUAAAUUCCGCUCGAAGUUUUCUUUGGUUCAUCUAGAUUUUAUAUUGAAAAAAACUACCUCGGCCCAUUGUGUUAGAUAAUAGAUGGCAUUGGCUUUUCUUUUUCAUCUGAGUUGAGUAAGAUCAUGAAAGCAUGUUGAUUCAUUUUCUGCUUUUGUUCUCUAUAAAAACACCAACUUUGCCUCUAUCGGACUUCAGUUCAGGUAGCUUGGUGUUAUUUUUGCCUGUUUGAAGGGGAACUAAAUUGAUUUUCUCCUGUUCUGUGCCAAUAUUCAGAACAAAUUUGACAGCUUUGCGAUUGCAGAGUUGCCUAACACCGAACCCAAGGGUGGACGCUCCUGCAAUACUGAAGUGUCUUGCAGCAGCAGUGAAAGAACGUGGAUUUGAUGGAACAAAUUAUGCUUUAGCGGGAUGCUAAACGAGAAGAGGUUGAGGACAGCCAGCCAGCCACAGCAGCUUCCGCCAGAAUCAGGAGCUGUGGAAAAGAUCACGAAAUGGACAGGAGAACGAGAAUCCUUCGGGACAGAGAUGAGUUGCGGGAUCGAAAAAAAAGAGUCGUGCACUUCCAGGUGAGCACAACGCUCUACUGAUGCCAAUCCGUGCCAUUCAUGCAUGGUUCGGUGGAAUUCAUUGUAUACACAGUAACAGGCCAUGUGAACAUUGUCAACGGAUAUAACCAAGUUGGAUCUGAUGACCAACAGAGAUUUAGGUGUAAGGAAGUCACUGCAGUGUAUAUACUGAAAAGUAAGAGCAGAUUAAUGAAGGUCAGGUAGUCUUGCUAUGGUCAAGCUAUGAUUGUUGUUUAUCAGUGUGGCAUUUCUCUAGAAACUAACUUAAUUGUCACUCAACCAUGCGAUGGCCUAUGGUCACAAAGGCAUCCGAUAGUUCUGUGGGCAGCUGACGACACAAAUGCUUCGGCUGUUGGGCUCUAAUCGCAGAAGGAAUUGGCGUGAUCACGAGCUAUACAUGCUAUGGAAUCUCAAAGAGGAGGAUAUAAGUAAGCUUUUGAGUAUACUCAUGUGGCAGCUAGGACUGUUCCAGCAAAUUGGCCACGAGAGGAGUAUAACAUGCUCUCUACAAAAGUUGUAGAAGACAUGUUUAUCAUCCUUUUAGCGAUCUUCAAUAAAUCGAAUGUUAGUUGGCGACCAUGUAAUGUUUAAUUCAUGAUGUGUGAGGAGACGGCCGCAUUGCGUAAAAUCAUAUGCCAUGAAGGGCCUUGGUUGUUCAUGUUUUGGAGCCAGUAAGAAGCUAUUUCUUUUUCUUCAUUAUAUAAUAAAUUUUCCUCAAAAAUAUCUCAAAUUUUUAACUGCCUUUUUGGUCCGAUACAUCUAUCACGCAGGCUUGGUUAUCUAAUCCUUAUCCGUAAAAAAAUAUCACACAAUAAGCACGUAGCUCCAUUAGAAGUUCUGUUAUGGAUAUUUGUCGAAAUAAUGUCGACUGAAUAAAAGAGGUAAACAUAUUUAAUUUCC
Lolium perenne is the source of this 1712-nucleotide non-coding RNA. NCBI's taxonomy places the organism in Eukaryota, Viridiplantae, Streptophyta, Magnoliopsida, Poales, Poaceae. The record is from RefSeq and is a predicted model, not a curated record.